AGGGCCAGAGUCAGUAGGAGUAGACCCGAAACCGGGUGAUCUACCCAUGUCCAGGAUGAAGCUGCCGUAAGAGGCAGUGGAGGUCCGGACCCACAUCCGUUGAAAAGGGUGGGGAUGAGGUGUGGGUAGGGGAGAAAUUCCAAUCGAACCCGGAGAUAGCUGGUUCUCCUCGAAAUAGCUUUAGGGCUAGCCUCGGUCAUGAGUCUUGUGGAGGUAGAGCACUGAAUUUCCUAGGGGGCGUCAAAGCCUACCGAAGAAUAUCAAACUCCGAAUGCCAUGUAGACAGGACCGGGAGUCAGACUGCACGAGAUAAGUUGGGCAGUCAAAAGGGAAAGAGCCCAGACCUUCAGUUAAGGUCCCAAAGUGUACGUUAAGUGGAAAAGGAUGUGGGGUCUCGAAGACAACCAGGAUGUUGGCUCAGAAGCAGCCAUUCAUUCAAAGAGUGCGUAAUAGCUCACUGGUCGAGAGGCCCUGCGCCGAAAAUGUCCGGGGCUGAAACGUACCACCGAAACUAAGGGAUCCGCAAGGAUCGGUAGAGGAGCAUUGCAUGCGGAAGGAAGCAGUACCG
RNAcentral lists this ribosomal RNA (568 nucleotides) under Blautia faecis. RNAcentral's name for it is "partial 23S ribosomal RNA". It matches the Rfam family "Bacterial large subunit ribosomal RNA", at positions 689 to 1263 of the family's 2925-position model. The record is from RNAcentral. Lineage: Bacteria; Bacillati; Bacillota; Clostridia; Lachnospirales; Lachnospiraceae.